This 497-nucleotide ribosomal RNA is filed under the name uncultured bacterium. Its description in RNAcentral is "partial 16S ribosomal RNA". It matches the Rfam family "Bacterial small subunit ribosomal RNA", at positions 28 to 507 of the family's 1533-position model. The record is from RNAcentral.
GAUGAACGCUGGCGGCGUGCCUAAUACAUGCAAGUCGAGCGAACGGACGAGAAGCUUGCUUCUCUGAUGUUAGCGGCGGACGGGUGAGUAACACGUGGAUAACCUACCUAUAAGACUGGGAUAACUUCGGGAAACCGGAGCUAAUACCGGAUAAUAUUUUGAACCGCAUGGUUCAAAAGUGAAAGACGGUCUUGCUGUCACUUAUAGAUGGAUCCGCGCUGCAUUAGCUAGUUGGUAAGGUAACGGCUUACCAAGGCAACGAUGCAUAGCCGACCUGAGAGGGUGAUCGGCCACACUGGAACUGAGACACGGUCCAGACUCCUACGGGAGGCAGCAGUAGGGAAUCUUCCGCAAUGGGCGAAAGCCUGACGGAGCACCGCCGCGUGAGUGAUGAAGGUCUUCGGAUCGUAAAACUCUGUUAUUAGGGAAGAACAUAUGUGUAAGUAACUGUGCACAUCUUGACGGUACCUAAUCAGAAAGCCACGGCUAACUACGUG